RNAcentral lists this ribosomal RNA (404 nucleotides) under Actinomycetes bacterium. RNAcentral describes it as "Actinobacteria bacterium partial 16S ribosomal RNA". It matches the Rfam family "Bacterial small subunit ribosomal RNA", at positions 355 to 776 of the family's 1533-position model. Lineage: Bacteria; Bacillati; Actinomycetota; Actinomycetes. The record is from RNAcentral.
UGGGGAAUAUUGGACAAUGGGCGCAAGCCUGAUCCAGCCAUGCCGCGUGAGUGAUGAAGGCCCUCGGGUUGUAAAGCUCUUUCACCGGUGAAGAUAAUGACGGUAACCGGAGAAGAAGCCCCGGCUAACUCCGUGGCAGCAGCCGCGGUAAUACGAAGGGGGCUAGCGUUGUUCGGAUUUACUGGGCGUAAAGCGCACGUAGGCGGACUUGUAAGUCAGGGGUGAAAUCCCGGGGCUCAACCCGGGAACUGCCUUUGAUACUGGAAGUCUUGAGGAUGGUAGAGGUGAGUGGAAUUCCGGGUGUAGAGGUGAAAUUCGUAGAUAUUCGGAGGAACACCAGUGGCGAAGGCGACUGACUGGACCAUUACUGACACUGAGGUGCGAAAGAAUGGGGAGCAAGCAGG